ACCCUCUAGUUACUUUUUACAUCAGAUCUGGAUGCAAGUCUUUGUGGCCAUAAUGGAGGAAGAGUACACUGAAGCUGGCCUCACAGCAGUAUAGUUUGGUAUAAAUCAUAAGGCCAAAUUCAAACAAAG
This is a small nucleolar RNA of Grammomys surdaster, 129 nucleotides long. RefSeq annotates it as small nucleolar RNA SNORA61. The transcript has a single exon. The record is from RefSeq and is a predicted model, not a curated record. Lineage: Eukaryota; Metazoa; Chordata; Mammalia; Rodentia; Muridae.